AAAAAGGUAGUUUAUGAAAGAACGCCGACUUGUGGUGUUGGUAGAAGAAUGUGUCUCCUUUUUU
This 64-nucleotide transfer RNA is filed under the name Arcuatula senhousia (Asian date mussel). RNAcentral describes it as "tRNA-His". Lineage: Eukaryota; Metazoa; Mollusca; Bivalvia; Mytilida; Mytilidae. The record is from RNAcentral.